This is a long non-coding RNA of Hyaena hyaena (striped hyena), 283 nucleotides long. RefSeq lists it as uncharacterized. The record is from RefSeq and is a predicted model, not a curated record. NCBI's taxonomy places the organism in Eukaryota, Metazoa, Chordata, Mammalia, Carnivora, Hyaenidae. The transcript is spliced from 3 exons.
UCCCUCUAAUAUCCAAGAGAGUCAACAACCUCAAAAGGAGGUAGAACCCUGUGGACCUACCGGGAUGUCUGGAGAAGAACUAAAACUGGCUUUUGGAGGUUGUUUCCAAUCUCCUUUCUUAAGCAGACCUGAAGUAAAAUGUGAUUGUGAUGCCAUCAUGAUUCUGAAGGCAAUGUACAGGAUAGUGCCUUACAGAACCAAGAAAGAUAAGCAGGCUUGGCCUCAGGAUGAAAGCAGGAGAGCCAGAGAAAAAGUGGAAUAAGUCAUGCAAGACCUCUUAAUG